RNAcentral lists this ribosomal RNA (253 nucleotides) under uncultured bacterium. RNAcentral describes it as "partial 16S ribosomal RNA". It matches the Rfam family "Bacterial small subunit ribosomal RNA", at positions 524 to 776 of the family's 1533-position model. The record is from RNAcentral.
UACGUAGGGUGCAAGCGUUGUCCGGAAUUAUUGGGCGUAAAGAGCUCGUAGGCGGUUUGUCGCGUCGAAUGUGAAAACCCGGGGCUCAACCCCGGGCCUGCAUUCGAUACGGGCAGACUAGAGUUCGGUAGGGGAGUCUGGAAUUCCUGGUGUAGCGGUGAAAUGCGCAGAUAUCAGGAGGAACACCAAUGGCGAAGGCAGCUCACUGGGACGAUACUGACGCUGAGACGCGAAAGCGUGGGGAUCAAACAGG